This is an RNA transcript of Vicugna pacos (alpaca), 437 nucleotides long. RefSeq lists it as uncharacterized. Lineage: Eukaryota; Metazoa; Chordata; Mammalia; Artiodactyla; Camelidae. The record is from RefSeq and is a predicted model, not a curated record.
GGAAAGAAAACACUCACCCAAGUCAACCCAAAGAGGAACACACCAAGGCACGGGAGCAGAGGACAGGAGAAAACACAGAGUUACCACCGAAGCCAACAGCAAGGAGAGCCCAUCCGGGGACAGAUGGCUUCUCUCUUGGCCCCGGUGAGCCCAGGUUAUCACCCUGGACAUGAGAGCUGGAAGAGGUGCGACCAGCUCCCGAGGAGUGGAUUCCACAGAGGGCGCGCUUCCUACCUUCCGCCGGGCAGCAGCGUAGGUACACAAAACGUUAUCAAGUAUCACCCUCCUGCCUACAAAACUGACUAUAAUACAUGAUUCCUUCAAAAAUACAAAGAAAGCACUGCUUAUGAACAAAAAAACUUUUUCACUUCUGGACCUGAACAAUUCUCCAGUGAAGACAUACAAAUGAUCAACAGGUACAUGAAAAAAUGCUCAAU